UUGAUAGACUGAGUUAAUAGGCACUGAUGAGACACACUUCCUUUGUCCUUUGGGAAUUGAAAACAUUUUUCUUUGGCUUCUAGCCAAUCGGCAGAUUGAAAUUCUGGAACUGGGAGACCUGGAAAAAGAGUGUUCCUUGGCCCGAAUCCGCCUCACUCUGGCUCAGCAUGACCCGUCAGCAGUUGCAGUUGCAGGAAGUUCAUCAGCAGAGGAGAUGGUCUCUCUCUUGGUUCAGGCUGGCCUUUUUGACACUGCCAUAUCCCUCUGUCAGACUUUUAAGCUUCCCUUGACGCCAGUCUUUGAGGGACUUGCUUUCAAAUGCAUCAAGUUGCAGUUAGGGGGCGAGGCAGCCCAAGCAGAAGCCUGGUCCUGGCUAGCAGCCAAUCAGCUCUCAUCAGUCAUCACCACUAAGGAGUCCAGGUACAGCUCUAGUGCUCCUCUGCCCCAAAGGGCUUACCUUCCAAACACUUCCCCUAGUGCCCAAUUCAUGUCUACCUGAAUGCACUUCAGUUUCUUUAGAAUCCUUCUCUAACCCUAACCCUCAGUAAAAUUCCCUUCCUUGAAUCACAUUUACAGUUUGUAUUACACAACUUUAGAAUUGGGGCAUUUAACGAUUUGGCAGUCCUCUGACAUUAGUUUUCAACCCCUAAAUUAGCAUACCAAUAUC
Long non-coding RNA from Herpailurus yagouaroundi (jaguarundi), 667 nucleotides. RefSeq lists it as uncharacterized. The transcript is spliced from 3 exons. The record is from RefSeq and is a predicted model, not a curated record. Lineage: Eukaryota; Metazoa; Chordata; Mammalia; Carnivora; Felidae.